RNAcentral lists this ribosomal RNA (425 nucleotides) under uncultured bacterium. RNAcentral describes it as "bacterial SSU rRNA". It matches the Rfam family "Bacterial small subunit ribosomal RNA", at positions 933 to 1359 of the family's 1533-position model. The record is from RNAcentral.
UGGAGCAUGUGGUUUAAUUCGAUGCAACGCGAAGAACCUUACCAGGGUUUGACAUCCUGCGAACCCCUGAGAAAUCGGGGGGUGCCUUCGGGAGCGCAGAGACAGGUGGUGCAUGGCUGUCGUCAGCUCGUGUCGUGAGAUGUUGGGUUAAGUCCCGCAACGAGCGCAACCCACGUCGUUAGUUGCCAGCAUUCAGUUGGGCACUCUAGCGAGACCGCCGGUGAUAAACCGGAGGAAGGUGUGGAUGACGUCAAGUCAUCAUGCCCCUUACAUCCUGGGCUACACACGUACUACAAUGCUACGGACAAAGGGCAGCAAACUCGCGAGAGCUAGCAAAUCCCAUAAACCGUGGCUCAGUUCAGAUCGUAGGCUGCAACUCGCCUACGUGAAGGAGGAACCGCUAGUAAUCGCAGGUCAGCAUACUG